GUGUCAGCAGCCGCGGUAAGACGGAGGAUGCAAGUGUUAUCCGGAAUCACUGGGCGUAAAGCGUCUGUAGGUGGUCAAAUAAGUCAACUGUUAAAUCUUGAGGCUCAACCUCAAAAUCGCAGUCGAAACUAUUCGACUAGAGUAUAGUAGGGGUAAAGGGAAUUUCCAGUGGAGCGGUGAAAUGCGUAGAGAUUGGAAAGAACACCGAUGGCGAAGGCACUUUACUGGGCUAUUACUAACACUGAGAGACGAAAGCUAGGGUAGCAAAUGGGAUUAGAUACCCCAGUAGUCC
This 292-nucleotide ribosomal RNA is filed under the name uncultured bacterium. Its description in RNAcentral is "partial 16S ribosomal RNA". It matches the Rfam family "Bacterial small subunit ribosomal RNA", at positions 505 to 796 of the family's 1533-position model. The record is from RNAcentral.